GCGGCGCUACACUCGCAGUCGAGCGGUAGAGAGAAGCUUGCUUCUCUUGAGAGCGGCGGACGGGUGAGUAAUGCCUAGGAAUCUGCCUGGUAGUGGGGGAUAACGUUCGGAAACGGACGCUAAUACCGCAUACGUCCUACGGGAGAAAGCAGGGGACCUUCGGGCCUUGCGCUAUCAGAUGAGCCUAGGUCGGAUUAGCUAGUUGGUGAGGUAAUGGCUCACCAAGGCAACGAUCCGUAACUGGUCUGAGAGGAUGAUCAGUCACACUGGAACUGAGACACGGUCCAGACUCCUACGGGAGGCAGCAGUGGGGAAUAUUGGACAAUGGGCGAAAGCCUGAUCCAGCCAUGCCGCGUGUGUGAAGAAGGUCUUCGGAUUGUAAAGCACUUUAAGUUGGGAGGAAGGGCAGUUACCUAAUACGUGAUUGUUUUGACGUUACCGACAGAAUAAGCACCGGCUAACUCUGUGCCAGCAGCCGCGGUAAUACAGAGGGUGCAAGCGUUAAUCGGAAUUACUGGGCGUAAAGCGCGCGUAGGUGGUUAGUUAAGUUGGAUGUGAAAUCCCCGGGCUCAACCUGGGAACUGCAUUCAAAACUGACUGACUAGAGUAUGGUAGAGGGUGGUGGAAUUUCCUGUGUAGCGGUGAAAUGCGUAGAUAUAGGAAGGAACACCAGUGGCGAAGGCGACCACCUGGACUGAUACUGACACUGAGGUGCGAAAGCGUGGGGAGCAAACAGGAUUAGAUACCCUGGUAGUCCACGCCGUAAACGAUGUCAACUAGCCGUUGGGAGCCUUGAGCUCUUAGUGGCGCAGCUAACGCAUUAAGUUGACCGCCUGGGGAGUACGGCCGCAAGGUUAAACUCAAAUGAAUUGACGGGGGCCCGCACAAGCGGUGGAAGCAUGUGGUUUAAUUCGAAGCAACGCGAAGAACCUUACCAGGCCUUGACUCCAAUGACUUUCUAAAAAUAGAUUGGUGCCUUCGGGA
RNAcentral lists this ribosomal RNA (984 nucleotides) under Pseudomonas extremaustralis. RNAcentral's name for it is "bacterial SSU rRNA". It matches the Rfam family "Bacterial small subunit ribosomal RNA", at positions 42 to 1025 of the family's 1533-position model. The record is from RNAcentral. Lineage: Bacteria; Pseudomonadati; Pseudomonadota; Gammaproteobacteria; Pseudomonadales; Pseudomonadaceae.